GACGACGCUGGCGGCGUGGAUUAGGCAUGCAAGUCGAACGGUAUCAUCCUUCGGGGGUGAGAGAGUGGCGAACUGGUGAGUAACACGUAGGUUAUCUACCCUCAAGACGGGGACAACCCAGGGAAACUUGGGCUAAUACCGGAUGUGAGCAACUUUUAGUUGUUUGAAAGGUGGCGUAAGCUGUCGCUUGGGGAUGAGCCUGCGUCCUAUUAGUUAGUUGGUGAGGUAACGGCUCACCUAGGCAAUGAUAGGUAGGCGGCCUUAACGGGUAGGUCGCCCACACUGGGAUUGAGAUACGGCCCAGACUCCUACGGGAGGCAGCAGUCGAGAAUAGUCUACAAUGGUCGGAAGACUGAUAGUGCGACGCCGCGUGAACGAUGAAUCCCUUCGGGGUGUAAGGUUCUUUUAUAUGUGAGCAGUGCUUCUUAUAUUAACAGUAUGGGGAGAGAGAUAUUAGCAUAUGAAUAAGCAACGGCUAACUCCGUG
RNAcentral lists this ribosomal RNA (486 nucleotides) under uncultured bacterium. RNAcentral's name for it is "bacterial SSU rRNA". It matches the Rfam family "Bacterial small subunit ribosomal RNA", at positions 33 to 507 of the family's 1533-position model. The record is from RNAcentral.